CUUGGUGGUGAGAGUGGCGAACGGGUGAGUAAUGCGUGACCGACCUGCCCCAUACACCGGAAUAGCUCCUGGAAACGGGUGGUAAUGCCGGAUGCUCCAGUUGAUCGCAUGGUCUUCUGGGAAAGCUUUCGCGGUAUGGGAUGGGGUCGCGUCCUAUCAGCUUGACGGCGGGGUAACGGCCCACCGUGGCUUCGACGGGUAGCCGGCCUGAGAGGGCGACCGGCCACAUUGGGACUGAGAUACGGCCCARACUCCUACGGGAGGCAGCAGUGGGGAAUAUUGCACAAUGGGCGCAAGCCUGAUGCAGCGACGCCGCGUGAGGGAUGGAGGCCUUUCGGGUUGUAAACCUCUUUUAUCGGGGAGCAAGCGAGAGUGAGUUUACCCGUUGAAUAAGCACCGGCUAACUACGUGCCAGCAGCCGCGGUAAUACGUAGGGUGCAAGCGUUAUCCGGAAUUAUUGGGCGUAAAGGGCUCGUAGGCGGUUCGUCGCGUCCGGUGUGAAAGUCCAUCGCUUAACGGUGGAUCCGCGCCGGGUACGGGCGGGCUUGAGUGCGGUAGGGGAGACUGGAAUUCCCGGUGUAACGGUGGAAUGUGUAGAUAUCGGGAAGAACACCAAUGGCGAAGGCAGGUCUCUGGGCCGUUACUGACGCUGAGGAGCGAAAGCGUGGGGAGCGAACAGGAUUAGAUACCCUGGUAGUCCACGCCGUAAACGGUGGAUGCUGGAUGUGGGGCCCGUUCCACGGGUUCCGUGUCGGAGCUAACGCGUUAAGCAUCCCGCCUGGGGAGUACGGCCGCAAGGCUAAAACUCAAAGAAAUUGACGGGGGCCCGCACAAGCGGCGGAGCAUGCGGAUUAAUUCGAUGCAACGCGAAGAACCUUACCUGGGCUUGACAUGUUCCCGACGGUCGUAGAGAUACGGCUUCCCUUCGGGGCGGGUUCACAGGUGGUGCAUGGUCGUCGUCAGCUCGUGUCGUGAGAUGUUGGGUUAAGUCCCGCAACGAGCGCAACCCUCGCCCCGUGUUGCCAGCGGAUUAUGCCGGGAACUCACGGGGGACCGCCGGGGUUAACUCGGAGGAAGGUGGGGAUGACGUCAGAUCAUCAUGCCCCUUACGUCCAGGGCUUCACGCAUGCUACAAUGGCCGGUACAACGGGAUGCGACGCGGCGACGCGGAGCGGAUCCCUGAAAACC
This 1188-nucleotide ribosomal RNA is filed under the name Bifidobacterium longum. RNAcentral describes it as "bacterial SSU rRNA". It matches the Rfam family "Bacterial small subunit ribosomal RNA", at positions 82 to 1283 of the family's 1533-position model. Lineage: Bacteria; Bacillati; Actinomycetota; Actinomycetes; Bifidobacteriales; Bifidobacteriaceae. The record is from RNAcentral.